GACGAACGCUGGCGGCGUGCCUAAUACAUGCCAGUCGAACGCUGAAGGAGGAUCUUGCUCUUCUGGAUGAGUUGCGAACGGGUGAGUAACGCGUAGGUAACCUGCCUUGUAGCGGGGGAUAACUAUUCGAAACGAUAGCUAAUACCGCAUAAGAGUAUAUGUUGCAUGACAUUUGCUUAAAAGGUGCAAUUGUAUCAUUACCAGAUGGUCCUGCGGUGUAUUAGCUAGUUGGUGGGGUAACGGCUCACCAAGGCGACGAUACAUAGUCGGCCUGAGGGGGGGGUCGGCCACACUGAGACGGAGACACAGCCCAGACUCCUACGGGAGGGAGCAGGAGGGAAGCUUCGGCAAUGGACGGAAGGCAGACCGAGGAACGGAGGGUGAGUGAAGGAGGGUGUCGGAUCGGAAAGAUCCGUUGUAAGAGAAGGAAGAGGGUGAGAGUGGAAAGUGCACAGUGUGACGGUAUCUUAACAGAAAGCGACGGCUAACUACGUG
RNAcentral lists this ribosomal RNA (495 nucleotides) under uncultured bacterium. Its description in RNAcentral is "partial 16S ribosomal RNA". It matches the Rfam family "Bacterial small subunit ribosomal RNA", at positions 28 to 507 of the family's 1533-position model. The record is from RNAcentral.